Molecule: ribosomal RNA, 25 nt
Filed under: Cortinarius casimirii
Lineage: Eukaryota; Fungi; Basidiomycota; Agaricomycetes; Agaricales; Cortinariaceae
Description: Cortinarius casimiri partial 25S ribosomal RNA
Source: RNAcentral
GUGACCUCAAAUCAGGUAGGACUAC